CCUACGGGAGGCAGCAGUGGGGAAUAUUGGGCAAUGGGCGCAAGCCUGACCCAGCAACGCCGCGUGAAGGAAGAAGGCCUUCGGGUUGUAAACUCCUUUUUUCAGGGACGAAGAAAGUGACGGUACUUGAGGACUAAGCCUAGGCUAACUACGUGCCAGCAGCCGCGGCAAUACGUAGGGGGCAAGAGUUAUCCGGAUUUAUUGGGAGUAAAGGGCGUGUAGGCGGGAGCGCAAAGCAGAUGGGAAAACUCAGCGCUCAACCCUGAGCCUGCAGUUGAAACUGUGUUUCUUGAGUGCUGGAGAGGCAGUCGGAAUUCCGUGUGUAGCGGUGAAAUGCGUAGAUAUACGGAGGAACACCGGUGGCGAAGGCGGAUUGCUGGACAGUGACUGACGCUGAGGCGCGAAGGCGUGGGUAGCAAACAGGAUUAGAUACCCCGGUAGUC
This 443-nucleotide ribosomal RNA is filed under the name uncultured bacterium. RNAcentral describes it as "partial 16S ribosomal RNA". It matches the Rfam family "Bacterial small subunit ribosomal RNA", at positions 338 to 795 of the family's 1533-position model. The record is from RNAcentral.